RNAcentral lists this unclassified non-coding RNA (304 nucleotides) under uncultured fungus. RNAcentral's name for it is "partial contains 5.8S ribosomal RNA, internal transcribed spacer 2, and large subunit ribosomal RNA". Lineage: Eukaryota; Fungi. The record is from RNAcentral.
AACGCAAAUUGCACUCGAGGCUCCGGCCAAGAGUAUGUCUGCCUCAGCGUCGGUUUUACACCAUCGCCUCCAACAGGCGGAGCUGGCUGUCCCGGUCCCUUCGGCCGGGUCCGCUGAAGAACAGAGGCUUGAGCAAGGACCCAUAAGGGAUAACAGUAUGGUAGGUGACCCGUCAGGGAUCGCAUGCCGCUGUCGGCCCGGGACUUUGCUGGGAGCCGGUAGGAGCGCGCGGUAAGCCGACCGGCUGCCGAGCGGCAUCAACAUAUUCGACCUGAGUUCAGGCAAGGGCACCCGCUGAACUUAA